This 403-nucleotide ribosomal RNA is filed under the name Streptomyces sp. WAC 01420. RNAcentral's name for it is "bacterial SSU rRNA". It matches the Rfam family "Bacterial small subunit ribosomal RNA", at positions 12 to 412 of the family's 1533-position model. Lineage: Bacteria; Bacillati; Actinomycetota; Actinomycetes; Kitasatosporales; Streptomycetaceae. The record is from RNAcentral.
UUUGAUCCUCGGCUCAGAUUGAACGCUGGCGGCAUGCCUUACACAUGCAAGUCGAACGGCAGCACGGGUGCUUGCACCUGGUGGCGAGUGGCGAACGGGUGAGUAAUACAUCGGAGCAUGUCCUGUAGUGGGGGAUAGCCCGGCGAAAGCCGGAUUAAUACCGCAUACGAUCUACGGAUGAAAGCGGGGGAUCGCAAGACCUCGCGCGAUUGGAGCGGCCGAUAUCAGAUUAGGUAGUUGGUGGGGUAAAGGCCCACCAAGCCAACGAUCUGUAGCUGGUCUGAGAGGACGACCAGCCACACUGGGACUGAGACACGGCCCAGACUCCUACGGGAGGCAGCAGUGGGGAAUUUUGGGACAAUGGGCGCAAGCCCUGAUCCAGCCAUGCCGCGUGCGGGAAGAA